CUUAGCUCAGUUGGUAGAGCAUCUGACUUUUAAUCAGGUGGUCGAUGGUUCGAGUCCAUCAGG
This 63-nucleotide transfer RNA is filed under the name uncultured Thiohalocapsa sp. It matches the Rfam family "tRNA", at positions 6 to 65 of the family's 71-position model. Rfam says of the family: Transfer RNA (tRNA) molecules are approximately 80 nucleotides in length. Their secondary structure includes four short double-helical elements and three loops (D, anti-codon, and T loops). Further hydrogen bonds mediate the characteristic L-shaped molecular structure. tRNAs have two regions of fundamental functional importance: the anti-codon, which is responsible for specific mRNA codon recognition, and the 3' end, to which the tRNAs corresponding amino acid is attached (by aminoacyl-tRNA synthetases). tRNAs cope with the degeneracy of the genetic code in two manners: having more than one tRNA (with a specific anti-codon) for a particular amino acid; and 'wobble' base-pairing, i.e. permitting non-standard base-pairing at the 3rd anti-codon position. Lineage: Bacteria; Pseudomonadati; Pseudomonadota; Gammaproteobacteria; Chromatiales; Chromatiaceae. The record is from RNAcentral.